CACGUAGUUAGCCGGGGCUUCCUCCUCAAGUACCGUCAUUAUCUUCCUUGAGGACAGAGCUUUACGACCCGAAGGCCUUCAUCGCUCACGCGGCGUUGCUGCAUCAGGCUUUCGCCCAUUGUGCAAUAUUCCCCACUGCUGCCUCCCGUAGGAGUUUGGACCGUGUCUCAGUUUCAAUGUGGCCGAUCACCCUCUCAGGUCGGCUACUGAUCGUCGCCUUGGUAAGCCGUUACCUUACCAACUAGCUAAUCAGACGCGGGUCCAUCCUGUACCGCAAAAGCUUUGAUACUUCUACCAUGCGAUAAAAGUACUUUAUCUCGUAUUAGCAUACCUUUCGGUAUGUUAUCCGUGUGUACAGGGCAGGUUACCCACGCGUUACUCACCCGUCCGCCGCUCUUUACCGAAGUAAAUCGCUCGACUUGCAUGUGUUAGGCACGCCGCCAGCGUUCAUCCUGAGCCAGGAUCAAACUCU
RNAcentral lists this ribosomal RNA (472 nucleotides) under uncultured Sporacetigenium sp. RNAcentral describes it as "partial 16S ribosomal RNA". Lineage: Bacteria; Bacillati; Bacillota; Clostridia; Peptostreptococcales; Tepidibacteraceae. The record is from RNAcentral.